Molecule: ribosomal RNA, 253 nt
Filed under: uncultured bacterium
Lineage: Bacteria
Also listed under: 1 other name
Description: partial 16S ribosomal RNA
Rfam family: Bacterial small subunit ribosomal RNA
Source: RNAcentral
UACGGGGGGGGCAAGCGUUGUUCGGAAUUACUGGGCGUAAAGGGUUUGUAGGUGGUCUGUUAAGUCAGACGUGAAAUCCCUCAGCUUAACUGGGGAACUGCGUCUGAGACUGAUGGACUUGAGGGCAGGAGAGGAACGCGGAAUUCCAGGUGUAGCGGUGAAAUGCGUAGAUAUCUGGAGGAACACCGGUGGCGAAGGCGGCGUUCUGGACUGUUUCUGACACUGAAAAACGAAAGCCAGGGGAGCAAACGGG